GACGAACGCUGGCGGCGUGCCUAAUACAUGCAAGUUGAGCGCUGACGGUUGGUACUUGUACCCACUGGAUGAGCAGCGAACGGGUGAGUAACGCGUGGGGAAUCUGCCUUUGAGCGGGGGACAACAUUUGGAAACGAAUGCUAAUACCGCAUAAAAACUUUAAACACAAGUUUUAAGUUUGAAAGAUGCAAUUGCAUCACUCAAAGAUGAUCCCGCGUUGUAUUAGCUAGUUGGUGAGGUAAAGGCUCACCAAGGCGAUGAUACAUAGCCGACCUGAGAGGGUGAUCGGCCACAUUGGGACUGAGACACGGCCCAAACUCCUACGGGAGGCAGCAGUAGGGAAUCUUCGGCAAUGGACGAAAGUCUGACCGAGCAACGCCGCGUGAGUGAAGAAGGUUUUCGGAUCGUAAAACUCUGUUGGUAGAGAAGAACGUUGGUGAGAGUGGAAAGCUCAUCAAGUGACGGUAACUACCCAGAAAGGGACGGCUAACUACGUG
RNAcentral lists this ribosomal RNA (497 nucleotides) under uncultured bacterium. RNAcentral describes it as "partial 16S ribosomal RNA". It matches the Rfam family "Bacterial small subunit ribosomal RNA", at positions 28 to 507 of the family's 1533-position model. The record is from RNAcentral.